Long non-coding RNA from Oncorhynchus keta (chum salmon), 1109 nucleotides. RefSeq lists it as uncharacterized. The transcript is spliced from 4 exons. The record is from RefSeq and is a predicted model, not a curated record. Lineage: Eukaryota; Metazoa; Chordata; Actinopteri; Salmoniformes; Salmonidae.
GACGUCACAGAUACAGUAGUAGAGGUGAAGACGUCACAGAUACAGUAGUAGAGGUGAAGACGUCACAGAUACAGUAGUAGAGGUGAAGACGUCACAGAUACAGUAGUAGAGGUGAAGACGUCACAGAUACAGUAGUAGAGGUGAAGACGUCAGUUACAGUAGUAGAGGUGAAGACGUCAGUUACAGUAGUAGAGGUGAAGACGUCAGUUACAGUAGUAGAGGUGAAGACGUCAGUUACAGUAGUAGAGGUGAAGACGUCAGUUACAGUAGUAGAGGUGAAGACGUCAGUUACAGUAGUAGAGGUGAAGACGUCAGUUACAGUAGUAGAGGUGAAGACGUCAGUUACAGUAGUAGAGUGAAGACGUCAGUUACAGUAGUAGAUGAAGACGUCAGUUACAGUAGUAGAUGAAGACGUCAGUUACAGUAGUAGAGGUGAAGACGUCAGUUACAGUAGUAGAGGUGAAGACGUCAGUUACAGUAGUAGAGAUGAAGACGUCAGUUACAGUAGUAGAUGAAGACGUCAGUUACAGUAGUAGAUGAAGACUAUACUACUACUAUGCAUCUUGCUCAUAAACGUGUUGUUGACAGGGAAGGAUGUUGCGUGAGAUCAACAUUAAGAUAAUGACAACCAAUGAGAGAUCGUCUCAAAGGAGGACAGCGUGGAGAGGACAGUGACGACAGAGUGAUUGACAGACUGACUCAUCCAAACUGGAGGGGAAACAAGAGACUGUUCUCUAGUGCUGCUUGUGAGAGAUUCACAGAGGUCAAACCAGGACAGGUCCAAAUGAAAUAAUGAAUGAAAGGCCUGUUAUUGUUGUUGAACCAGACUAGGUGACUUCUGCCCCCGACACCAGGUUCUAUUACUGCUAUGACAGAGUCUCUAUGUUACUGAAACACUGCUACCAUGGAAAUUGGUGUCAAAACAACACUGUUAGAACGUUAAAACAACAUUGUUGCAACAUAAGACAAUAUUAGACAGGGGUGCAGCUGCCCUGAAACUGACACAGGGUCAGGGAAGAGGAAGGAUGUAACAACUGAGCUUAGCUUUUGCGUAACGGCACAGUAGGUGUCACAACAAUGUUGUGAGAAUGUUAGACAUGGUUCCUGCU